AAAUUGAAGAGUUUGAUCAUGGCUCAGAUUGAACGCUGGCGGCAGGCCUAACACAUGCAAGUCGAACGGUAACAGGAAGCAGCUUGCUGCUUUGCUGACGAGUGGCGGACGGGUGAGUAAUGUCUGGGAAACUGCCUGAUGGAGGGGGAUAACUACUGGAAACGGUGGCUAAUACCGCAUAACGUCGCAAGACCAAAGAGGGGGACCUUCGGGCCUCUUGCCAUCAGAUGUGCCCAGAUGGGAUUAGCUUGUUGGUGAGGUAACGGCUCACCAAGGCGACGAUCCCUAGCUGGUCUGAGAGGAUGACCAGCCACACUGGAACUGAGACACGGUCCAGACUCCUACGGGAGGCAGCAGUGGGGAAUAUUGCACAAUGGGCGCAAGCCUGAUGCAGCCAUGCCGCGUGUAUGAAGAAGGCCUUCGGGUUGUAAAGUACUUUCAGCGGGGAGGAAGGUGUUGUGGUUAAUAACCACAGCAAUUGACGUUACCCGCAGAAGAAGCACCGGCUAACUCCGUGCCAGCAGCCGCGGUAAUACGGAGGGUGCAAGCGUUAAUCGGAAUUACUGGGCGUAAAGCGCACGCAGGCGGUCUGUCAAGUCGGAUGUGAAAUCCCCGGGCUCAACCUGGGAACUGCAUUCGAAACUGGCAGGCUUGAGUCUUGUAGAGGGGGGUAGAAUUCCAGGUGUAGCGGUGAAAUGCGUAGAGAUCUGGAGGAAUACCGGUGGCGAAGGCGGCCCCCUGGACAAAGACUGACGCUCAGGUGCGAAAGCGUGGGGAGCAAACAGGAUUAGAUACCCUGGUAGUCCACGCCGUAAACGAUGUCUACUUGGAGGUUGUGCCCUUGAGGCGUGGCUUCCGGAGCUAACGCGUUAAGUAGACCGCCUGGGGAGUACGGCCGCAAGGUUAAAACUCAAAUGAAUUGACGGGGGCCCGCACAAGCGGUGGAGCAUGUGGUUUAAUUCGAUGCAACGCGAAGAACCUUACCUGGUCUUGACAUCCACAGAACUUUCCAGAGAUGGAUUGGUGCCUUCGGGAACUGUGAGACAGGUGCUGCAUGGCUGUCGUCAGCUCGUGUUGUGAAAUGUUGGGUUAAGUCCCGCAACGAGCGCAACCCUUAUCCUUUGUUGCCAGCGAUUAGG
This 1139-nucleotide ribosomal RNA is filed under the name Salmonella enterica subsp. enterica. Its description in RNAcentral is "bacterial SSU rRNA". It matches the Rfam family "Bacterial small subunit ribosomal RNA", at positions 1 to 1129 of the family's 1533-position model. Lineage: Bacteria; Pseudomonadati; Pseudomonadota; Gammaproteobacteria; Enterobacterales; Enterobacteriaceae. The record is from RNAcentral.